Molecule: ribosomal RNA, 398 nt
Filed under: uncultured bacterium
Lineage: Bacteria
Description: bacterial SSU rRNA
Rfam family: Bacterial small subunit ribosomal RNA
Source: RNAcentral
GACGAACGCUGGCGGCGUGCUUAACACAUGCAAGUCGAGCGGUAAGGCCCUUUCGGGGGUACACGAGCGGCGAACGGGUGAGUAACACGUGGGUGACCUGCCUUUGGAUGGGGAAUAACAACCGGAAACGGUUGCUAAUACCGCAUAAUGCAGCGGCACCUAAUGGUGACAGUUGUUAAAGCGGGGGAUCGAAAGACCUCGCGUCUGAAGAGGAGCCUGCGGCGGAUUAGCUAGUUGGUAAGGUAACGGCUACCAAGGCGACGAUCCGUAGCCGGCCUGAGAGGGCGGUCGGCCACACUGACACUGACAUACGGGUCAGACUCCUACGGGAGGCAGCAGUCGGGAAUUUGGGCAAUGGGCGAAAGCCUGACCCAGCAACGCCGCGUGAAGGAUGAAAU